Molecule: ribosomal RNA, 252 nt
Filed under: uncultured bacterium
Lineage: Bacteria
Description: partial 16S ribosomal RNA
Rfam family: Bacterial small subunit ribosomal RNA
Source: RNAcentral
UACGUAGGUGGCAAGCGUUAUCCGGAAUUAUUGGGCGUAAAGGGUGCGUAGGCGGUUUAUUAAGUCUGAUGUGAAAGCCCGUGGCUCAACCACGGUGUGCAUUGGAAACUGGUAAACUUGAGUGUAAGAGAGGCAAGUGGAAUUCCAUGUGUAACGGUAAAAUGUGCAGAUAUAUGGAGGAACACCAGUGGCGAAGGCGGCUUGCUGGCUUACAACUGACGCUGAGGCACGACAGCGUGGGGAGCAAAUAGG